UCUUGCUAUUGGUGAUUUAGCGUAAAAGUACACAUUGUAAUCAUAUAGUUUCAUGAAAAUUUGUUUACUCGCCAGCAUUAUCAGCAUUAUCAGCAAAAUAGUGUUUUCUUUGCCCGUUUAUCUCUUAUUUGCCAAAAUAACAAAUUUGUGAUCAACAAGUUCUUGUAAAGACGAACAAAUCAUUGCACUUUUGAACAUAUACAUUCUUAUUGACUGUGUUUUUUUUUUGUUUUGUUUUGUGUCGAAUCGUUCGCUUCUUAUUCUUUUCAUAUACAUUGUGCUAAUGUUAAUAAUAAGGAAUGUGACAUUCAUGGAUGCUGUAGUUGAUAUAGCA
Molecule: long non-coding RNA, 334 nt
Filed under: Mytilus galloprovincialis (Mediterranean mussel)
Lineage: Eukaryota; Metazoa; Mollusca; Bivalvia; Mytilida; Mytilidae
Source: RNAcentral